This 460-nucleotide ribosomal RNA is filed under the name uncultured bacterium. RNAcentral's name for it is "partial 16S ribosomal RNA". It matches the Rfam family "Bacterial small subunit ribosomal RNA", at positions 338 to 795 of the family's 1533-position model. The record is from RNAcentral.
CCUACGGGGCGCAGCAGUGAGGAAUAUUGGUCAAUGGCCGGAAGGCUGAACCAGCCAUGCCGCGUGAAGGUCAGUGCCCUAUGGGCGUUAAACUUCUUUUGUGCGGGAGCAAUAAUGGUCACGUGUGGCCAGACGAGAGUACCGUACGAAUAAGCAUCGGCUAACUCCGUGCCAGCAGCCGCGGUAAUACGGGGGAUGCAAGCGUUAUCCGGAUUUAUUGGGUUUAAAGGGUGCGUAGGCUGUGAGGUAAGUCAGCGGUGAAAUGCCCCCACUCAACGGGGUGAAGUGCCAUUGAUACUGCCGUGCUGGAAUGCGGAUGCCGUGGGAGGAAUGUGUGGUGUAGCGGUGAAAUGCAUAGAUAUCACACAGAACACCGAUUGCGAAGGCAUCUCACGAAGCCGCGAUUGACGCUGAUGCACGAAAGCGUGGGUAUCAAACAGGAUUAGAUACCCGAGUAGUC